This is a long non-coding RNA of Xiphophorus hellerii (green swordtail), 1823 nucleotides long. RefSeq lists it as uncharacterized. NCBI's taxonomy places the organism in Eukaryota, Metazoa, Chordata, Actinopteri, Cyprinodontiformes, Poeciliidae. The transcript is spliced from 2 exons. The record is from RefSeq and is a predicted model, not a curated record.
AAAGGUCUUCAAACAAUAUUAUUGUUUAUCGCAAUAAUUUUUGAGACAAUUAAUCGCUCAGCAAAAUUUGUUAUCGUGACAGGCCUAGGUAACAUUAACAUUUGUGCAGUCAAUAUCAUUGAGUUUACAAAUUGCCUGUUGAAAUAAAACAAAAGUGUGGGGCGAGGCAGUGCUGUGCCUCACCUUUGGUGUUGCCUUGUCACAUAAAGUGAAUGAAGCAGGCUGUUGGUGCAUGCUUAUUGCUUAUUGCUGUUUUCUUAAUAUCAUCAAUAAACUUGUUAAAUUGCACAUUCUGCAUGUCUGUCUAAUAUAUUUAAUGAAUGUGUGACACAUUUAGUCUGAUUAGCUAUAAAUGUGUAGUGAAAAUAUGGGUGAGGCAGAAAGUUCACUGAUGGAGGCAGUGCUGAGCCCCAUAAACAAAGAAGACAACAGAAGUUCUUCUUCUAUGCAAUGAAAAGAUUGAAAACGAUAAAAGAUAACAAAUAAAAAAAACAGAGAAAAUGCGGUUGGAAUAGAAACAUUCAAGACCACUCUAAUCUUUGGCUGCCAGAUUUUUUUUAAAAUGAAAGGAAAAUGAGAUAGAAACACUUGAAGUGGUGUUUAUCCAUCUGGGGUGUGUUAAAUUGUUAGGUGAGAUGGUUUUAGUUGAACCAUGAGCUGCAACUCAAAAAAAUCUGCAUAUCAGCCAUAGUGUCAAAAAUAUUUCAACCAAUAAAAUCUGCAUCUAUGCAUAACAUUGCACAUUUUAAACCCUCGUUUGCAAAGGGUUCAUACUUUUUUCUUUGUUUGUAAAUAAAUAUGUAGCCCCUGGUUAAAAACCAUGCACUUAAGGCCUGUAAUAUUUACAAAAUAUUUACGAGGUUGGUUUUAUGUAAGAAAACAAAGGAUAAGUGAGAAAUGUGUAUUGUUUUUGUACAUUUUUAAUCUGAGUGAUUAUAUACAUGAUGGAAAAAACAGAAAGCCAAAACUUUUCUGGAGGUGACAUGUGUAUUUACAUAAGUGUAUUGUUUGAUUAAUCAUCCCAUUUGUUUAAAGACUAUAUUGAAUAUCCUACCUACGAAAGUAGUUUAGGUAAACGAGGGACAAGUGAACUCAACAGCAAAAAAAAACUGAACAAUGGGAUUAUGGGAAGAGGAAAGGAGAAGAGUGCGAGGGAGAGAAGAAGAAGCUAAUGGUGACCGCUGCUAAUAAUUCUGCAGUGAAAAGCACGGAGGAAAACUGCGGCUGAAUCAAGGAGAACUGCGGCUGAUCCGACAUGGCGACACUGAUUUCAGCGCGACGGAGGAGUAGUCCUGCAACUCGGGUGGCGGAGUUUUAAAGGAAGUUGGACUCGCGAAGCAUCCUUCACGGAGAGGACGUCGGCUGAGCGAGCAGGUCGGAGUUGGUUCAUUGUUUAAACGGAGAAGAGGAUCGUCGAAGCGACAUCGAUCUCUAGCUUCACCAGGCCUGCAACGGAACCUUAAACCGGUACCGGACAGUGUGUGUGUGAGAGAGAGUAUGGGCCCAUGUGUGAUAUUGUGAUUUUGAACUGUAAAUUUUCUGUAAAUGUAUGGAGUUCUAUUGGUAACAAAAAUUGAAUUCUGGUUGUAGUAAAACAACAGUUAACAGUGAGGGUUUUUCUUAAAAAUCACAAAGGUAAAGUGAGUAAAACAUAAGGGACUGAAAAGAAAAAGUGCCUUAUCGGCUUUAUUUUGUUUUGGGAAACAUUUGUUGUGAGGGAAUUGAUAACCUUGUUCUAUGUUUAAGUUUUUGAUUGUUUUGGGGAUUUGUGGAGCUAAGGUUUUAUUUUUCUUAAGCUCUUAUUAAAAGAAACUGUUCAGGUA